UUCUCUUGUCCUUCAUUCCACCGGAGUCUGUCUCGUACCCACCCAGAUUUCAGUGGAGUGAAGCUCAGGAGGCG
RNAcentral lists this microRNA precursor (74 nucleotides) under Capra hircus (goat). RNAcentral's name for it is "mir-205 microRNA precursor family". It matches the Rfam family "mir-205 microRNA precursor family". Lineage: Eukaryota; Metazoa; Chordata; Mammalia; Artiodactyla; Bovidae. The record is from Rfam by way of RNAcentral. RNAcentral also lists the same sequence under 1 other name.